RNAcentral lists this ribosomal RNA (1340 nucleotides) under metagenome. Its description in RNAcentral is "bacterial SSU rRNA". It matches the Rfam family "Bacterial small subunit ribosomal RNA". The record is from RNAcentral.
ACAUGCAAGUCGAACGAACCUUCGGGUUAGUGGCGGACGGGUGAGUAACGCGUGGGAAUCUGCCCUCAGGAGGGGGAUAACGGCUGGAAACGGCCGCUAAUACCCCAUAUGCCGAGAGGUGAAAUGAAUUUCGCCUGAGGAUGAGCCCGCGUCUGAUUAGCUAGUUGGUGUGGUAAUGGCUCACCAAGGCUUCGAUCAGUAGCUGGUCUGAGAGGAUGAUCAGCCACACUGGGACUGAGACACGGCCCAGACUCCUACGGGAGGCAGCAGUGGGGAAUUUUCCGCAAUGGGCGAAAGCCUGACGGAGCAACGCCGCGUGAGGGAUGAAGGCCUCUGGGCUGUAAACCUCUUUUUUCAAGGAAGAAGACCUGACGGUACUUGAAGAAUAAGCCACGGCUAAUUCCGUGCCAGCAGCCGCGGUAAUACGGGAGUGGCAAGCGUUAUCCGGAAUUAUUGGGCGUAAAGCGUCCGCAGGCGGCCCUGAAAGUCUGUCGUUAAAGCGUGGAGCUCAACUCCAUUUAAGCGAUGGAAACUACAGGGCUAGAGUGUGGUAGGGGCAGAGGGAAUUCCCGGUGUAGCGGUGAAAUGCGUAGAUAUCGGGAAGAACACCAGUGGCGAAGGCGCUCUGCUGGGCCAUAACUGACGCUCAUGGACGAAAGCCAGGGGAGCGAAAGGGAUUAGAUACCCCUGUAGUCCUGGCCGUAAACGAUGAACACUAGGUGUCGGGGGAAUCGACCCCCUCGGUGUCGUAGCCAACGCGUUAAGUGUUCCGCCUGGGGAGUACGCACGCAAGUGUGAAACUCAAAGGAAUUGACGGGGGCCUGCACAAGCGGUGGAGUAUGUGGUUUAAUUCGAUGCAACGCGAAGAACCUUACCAGGGUUUGACAUCCUGCGAAUCCCUUGGAAACGAGGGAGUGCCUUCGGGAGCGCAGAGACAGGUGGUGCAUGGCUGUCGUCAGCUCGUGUCGUGAGAUGUUGGGUUAAGUCCCGCAACGAGCGCAACCCACGUCGUUAGUUGCCAGCACUCAGUUGGGCACUCUAGCGAGACCGCCGGUGAUAAACCGGAGGAAGGUGUGGAUGACGUCAAGUCAUCAUGCCCCUUACAUCCUGGGCUACACACGUACUACAAUGCUACGGACAAAGGGCAGCAAGCUCGCGAGAGUUAGCAAAUCCCAUAAACCGUGGCUCAGUUCAGAUCGUAGGCUGCAACUCGCCUACGUGAAGGAGGAAUCGCUAGUAAUCGCAGGUCAGCAUACUGCGGUGAAUACGUUCCCGGGCCUUGUACACACCGCCCGUCACACCAUGGAAGUUGGCCACGCCCGAAGUCGUUACUCCAACCC